Molecule: ribosomal RNA, 591 nt
Filed under: uncultured Actinomycetes bacterium
Lineage: Bacteria; Bacillati; Actinomycetota; Actinomycetes
Description: SSU rRNA
Rfam family: Bacterial small subunit ribosomal RNA
Source: RNAcentral
UGAGACUGAGACACGGCCCAGACUCCUACGGGAGGCAGCAGUGGGGAAUAUUGCGCAAUGGGCGAAAGCCUGACGCAGCGACGCCGCGUGAGGGACGAAGGCCUUCGGGUUGUAAACCUCUUUCAGCAGGGACGAAGCGAAAGUGACGGUACCUGCAGAAGAAGCACCGGCCAACUACGUGCCAGCAGCCGCGGUAAUACGUAGGGUGCAAGCGUUGUCCGGAAUUAUUGGGCGUAAAGAGCUCGUAGGCGGUCUGUUGCGUCGGCUGUGAAAACCCGGGGCUCAACCCCGGGCCUGCAGCCGAUACGGGCAGACUAGAGUUCGGCAGGGGAGACUGGAAUUCCUGGUGUAGCGGUGAAAUGCGCAGAUAUCAGGAGGAACACCGGUGGCGAAGGCGGGUCUCUGGGCCGAUACUGACGCUGAGGAGCGAAAGCGUGGGGAGCAAACAGGAUUAGAUACCCUGGUAGUCCACGCCGUAAACGUUGGGCGCUAGGUGUGGGUUCCCUUCCACGGGAUCCGUGCCGCAGCUAACGCAUUAAGCGCCCCGCCUGGGGAGUACGGCCGCAAGGCUAAAACUCAAAGGAAUUGACG